GAUCCUGGCUUAGAUUGAACGCUGGCGGCAGGCCUAACACAUGCAAGUCGAACGGUAACAGGAAACAGCUUGCUGUUUCGCUGGCGAGUGGCGGACGGGUGAGUAAUGUCUGGGAAACUGCCUGAUGGAGGGGGAUAACUACUGGAAACGGUAGCUAAUACCGCAUAACGUCGCAAGACCAAAGAGGGGGACCUUCGGGCCUCUUGCCAUCGGAUGUGCCCAGAUGGGAUUAGCUAGUAGGUGGGGUAACGG
Molecule: ribosomal RNA, 252 nt
Filed under: uncultured bacterium
Lineage: Bacteria
Description: partial 16S ribosomal RNA
Rfam family: Bacterial small subunit ribosomal RNA
Source: RNAcentral